AGGAAAAGAAACUAACAAGGAUUCCCCUAGUAACGGCGAGUGAAGCGGGAUGAGCUCAAAUUUGUAAUCUGGUGGACUCAGUUCAUCCGAAUUGUAAUCUAUAGAAAAGUUUUCCGCGCUGGACCGUGUCUAAGUCCCUUGGAACAGGGUGUCAGAGAGGGUGAGAAUCCCGUGCUUGAUACGACCACCAGUGCUAUGUGAUACUUUUUCAACGAGUCGAGUUGUUUGGGAAUGCAGCUCAAAAUGGGUGGUAAAUUCCAUCUAAAGCUAAAUAUUGGCGAGAGACCGAUAGCGAACAAGUACCGUGAGGGAAAGAUGAAAAGCACUUUGGAAAGAGAGUUAAACAGUACGUGAAAUUGUUAAAAGGGAAACGAUUGAAGUCAGUCGUGCUCUCUAGGACUCAGCCAGUUCUUCUGGUGUAUUUCCUAGUGAGCGGGUCAACAUCAGUUUAGAUCGCUGGAUAAGGUCAUUAGGAAUGUGGCUCCCUCGGGAGUGUUAUAGCCUAGUGUCGCAUACAGUGGUUUAGACUGAGGAACGCAGCUCGCCUUUAUGGCCGGGGUUCGCCCACGUCCGAGCUUAGGAUGUUGACAUAAUGGCUUUAAACGACCCGU
This 611-nucleotide ribosomal RNA is filed under the name Cryptococcus sp. RJ9-19. Its description in RNAcentral is "eukaryotic LSU rRNA". It matches the Rfam family "Eukaryotic large subunit ribosomal RNA", at positions 54 to 652 of the family's 3401-position model. Lineage: Eukaryota; Fungi; Basidiomycota; Tremellomycetes; Tremellales; Cryptococcaceae. The record is from RNAcentral.